This is a non-coding RNA of Callorhinus ursinus (northern fur seal), 1203 nucleotides long. NCBI's taxonomy places the organism in Eukaryota, Metazoa, Chordata, Mammalia, Carnivora, Otariidae. The record is from RefSeq and is a predicted model, not a curated record.
UUCAGAAAGAAUGACAUCAUUCUACAUUUUUGCAAAUCCCUUUCAUGUGUGGCUUGAUAGAAUAGAGCAAGGUUCUUAGAUCUGCUCCUGCACUCAGGUCGUCACAGUAUCACGUCCUGGAGUCUGGAGCAUCCUACACUGUGCCUACACGUGACAGCAGGACAGUGUGAAAAGCAGAUGCCUCCUUAGUAUUGUCGCGAAAAUAGCUUCGACCCCGUGGAGACCUGAAAGGGUCUCAGGAACUCCUGAGAAGCCUCAAACUACUUGUUUGUUUUCUUAAUGUAAGCUCUACACCCAACCUGGGGCUUGAACUCUUGACCUCAAGAUCAAGAGUCACAUGCUCUACAGACUGAGCCAGCCAGGCGCCCCUCAGACCACAUUUUGAGAGCUACUUUGUCAGAUUAAGACUUCCAGCUGAAAGUUUUUUUUAACUUUUUAAUAGCUGAAACUCGGCCAAGUUCGGGGCGCUGGCCCUCCCCAGGGAGUGGGGAAAUAGAUGUGUUUGCCUCCAUGCAGCCUGCCUUAAGACACUACCCUUGCUGCGGGCUCUAGAGGUUUUGCUUCUCAGGCCUUCCCGCUCCUCCUCUCCCUGCCCCUCCCCCACCACCUCCACUUGCACCACACUGAAAUCUCACAGUGGGCCAAGUAAUGCGUCUGGAAAGGAAAGGAAGGGAAUCUAACUAGAUGUCAAUUUUCUUAAGCCAAAGAGUGUUGUUUGGGUUUUUUUUUUUUAAUCAACCACAGUUACUUCUCUACUUACAAAUUUGGAAGAAAAAAUAGAUUCAAACCUUUUGAAAAUGUUUGAGAAUAGAAUAGAAAUGUUUGAUAUUGCAUAUGUUCUUAUUCCAAUAAUAUUGCAAUGGAUCAAAAUAAUUUUGGAUCUCCUUCUAGAAUUUCCUUGAAGACUGUAAGACACAUUUUAUUUAAUUACUAUGAUCUCCUAUCCCCUAUCUGCCUCCAUGAGCUCCUAGAAGGAGCAGAGACUAUUACACCAUGCUGAGAUGUGGAGGCUGGGGAGUGGCCGAGCCUACUAGCUAAUGACCUGAACAUUGCAGCACUGGGCCUACAUUUGAGCUUCAGUAAAAUGUCAAGACCUCACACAUUGGACCUUCAGAGUUACUCAGGUUCAAGACUUCAGUGGAGGAAGUAACUGCAGAUGCGGUAGAAAUAACAAGAGAACUAGAAGUGGAGCCCGAAGACGGG